RNAcentral lists this ribosomal RNA (888 nucleotides) under Pseudomonas sp. RNAcentral's name for it is "bacterial SSU rRNA". It matches the Rfam family "Bacterial small subunit ribosomal RNA", at positions 56 to 940 of the family's 1533-position model. The record is from RNAcentral. Lineage: Bacteria; Pseudomonadati; Pseudomonadota; Gammaproteobacteria; Pseudomonadales; Pseudomonadaceae.
UGCAAGUCGAGCGGAUGAGAGGAGCUUGCUCCUGGAUUCAGCGGCGGACGGGUGAGUAAUGCCUAGGAAUCUGCCUGGUAGUGGGGGACAACGUUUCGAAAGGAACGCUAAUACCGCAUACGUCCUACGGGAGAAAGCAGGGGACCUUCGGGCCUUGCGCUAUCAGAUGAGCCUAGGUCGGAUUAGCUAGUUGGUGAGGUAAUGGCUCACCAAGGCGACGAUCCGUAACUGGUCUGAGAGGAUGAUCAGUCACACUGGAACUGAGACACGGUCCAGACUCCUACGGGAGGCAGCAGUGGGGAAUAUUGGACAAUGGGCGAAAGCCUGAUCCAGCCAUGCCGCGUGUGUGAAGAAGGUCUUCGGAUUGUAAAGCACUUUAAGUUGGGAGGAAGGGUUGUAGAUUAAUACUCUGCAAUUUUGACGUUACCGACAGAAUAAGCACCGGCUAACUCUGUGCCAGCAGCCGCGGUAAUACAGAGGGUGCAAGCGUUAAUCGGAAUUACUGGGCGUAAAGCGCGCGUAGGUGGUUUGUUAAGUUGGAUGUGAAAUCCCCGGGCUCAACCUGGGAACUGCAUCCAAAACUGGCAAGCUAGAGUAUGGUAGAGGGUGGUGGAAUUUCCUGUGUAGCGGUGAAAUGCGUAGAUAUAGGAAGGAACACCAGUGGCGAAGGCGACCACCUGGACUGAUACUGACACUGAGGUGCGAAGCGUGGGGAGCAAACAGGAUUAGAUACCCUGGUAGUCCACGCCGUAAACGAUGUCAACUAGCCGUUGGGAGCCUUGAGCUCUUAGUGGCGCAGCUAACGCAUUAAGUUGACCGCCUGGGGAGUACGGCCGCAAGGUUAAAACUCAAAUGAAUUGACGGGGGCCCGCACAAGCGGUGGAGCAU